UCAGCAAUUGACACAGGGACCUGUUCAAUAGGUGAAAACUUCAAAAGUGAACCUGACUAAGGUAUGUCCAAUUGUGCAAAGCAAAUUGACAUCAAGCUGAAAGGCACUGAAAAAGCAUAAGGAAUGAUAGGACUCCAUCCAACACCAUGUCCACCUGACUUGUCAUCCGGUCUUCGAAAGUCCAGGAACUCUCCCUGCUAGGAGGCCUUGUUUCACCACAGCAGAUCCCUCUCCAGGAAAACCAAGCAGGACUGAUGAAAUCAAAGAGACUCCAGAUACAAUAGUUGACCUCCUAUU
Nicotiana tabacum (common tobacco) is the source of this 297-nucleotide long non-coding RNA. RefSeq lists it as uncharacterized. NCBI's taxonomy places the organism in Eukaryota, Viridiplantae, Streptophyta, Magnoliopsida, Solanales, Solanaceae. The record is from RefSeq and is a predicted model, not a curated record.